Molecule: long non-coding RNA, 1241 nt
Organism: Musa acuminata AAA Group (dessert banana)
Lineage: Eukaryota; Viridiplantae; Streptophyta; Magnoliopsida; Zingiberales; Musaceae
Exons: 4
Source: RefSeq, a predicted model, not a curated record
CUUUUGACGUAUAGCCAAGAGGAGGCUAUAAAAGCGCAAGCAGCGAGGGAGAGGGAUGGUGAGAAGGGAGGGAAGAGACAUGGUGUCGGACGUAGAGCUCGUCGAGCGGCUUCGGGAGUUCCUCCGGGCAUCCGACCUCUCCACGACCACCACCUUUGUUAGGUUUUGAUGGUCACAUUGCGAGAGUCGGGUUUAAUUAGGGUUCGGCUCACCGGCCGGGUUAGAGAUGACAUCUUUGGCUUUCGCAUAUGUCUUCAGCGAGGGAUAUUAUACUUGAUUAAGGACCACCGAAGAGCUUCAUGGUUGACCUAGACAGACCUUUUCCUUUUUAAGAUCAAAUAAACUCAGCGACGUAGUCAGGAAGCGGGGAGGUGGCUUUACCAAACUUUGUAGUCUUUCUCCUCUACUACAGGAUUUUGUUGGCAAAUCAGAAUUAGCUAGAACUGAGCAGGCCCAGUGACUCCAGCGAAGCCAGAACAAAAUAACAAGAAGCCCAAGAAAGAAAGAGAAGGUAAGCAGCAAAAAAGAGGAUCAUCAGGUCUCCUUGUGCCCCUUCCACUUUCAGAUGAUCUGAUGAAAAUUCUUUGGUACUGGUGAAAGUACAUUAUCACGAUCUGAUGUCGUGAAAAGGAUGUGGGAGUACAUAAAACAAAACAACCUGCAGGUAUAUUGCUUCAUUUGGAUGGGAAAUGCAUUAUGCUAUUGUGCAUUCUUAAUUUCAAUGUGACUACAAAAUAAUAAUUGCUUUUUACUGUCUAGUGGUUAUUAAUGGAGCAUAGUUAACCAAUUUGGCAUAUGCGAUUUUUCUCUGACUCAAUGACUGACAUGUUUCUUUUACAUAAUUGAAAUGCUAACAACUAAAAUUCUCAUUCUUGGAUCCCCUACAAUGUGUUGCCAAGAACUAUUAGAUCAGAUUUUUCAGUGGCAGUCUAAUUGGCUGUGGUAGUUGUCAUUUUUCCUUAAAAUACCAUCUCUGCUUUUCAUAUGAAGUACCAGAAGGAGAAAGGAUAAUAUCAUGGAACAUCAUAAAUAACAACUUCGCCCAAUUAAUAAUAUUUUAUUAUAAAAAUUCAUAUAAUGAAACUCAUCUUCAAGUGCUAUGUGAAGGUGGAAUAUCUUUGUAAUUAUACAUUGUAUGCUAUAUAUAUAUAUGUAUAUAUAUGUAUGUAUAUGUAUGUAUGUAUAUAUAUGUAUGUAUAUAUAUGUAUGUAUGUAUGUAUAUAUAUAUAUAUAUAUAUAUA